GACGAACGCUGGCGGCGUGCUUAAUACAUGCAAGUCGAACGGUGAAGCGACUUCCUUUCUGGUGGGAGUGGAUGAGUGGCGAACGGGUGAGUAACACGUGAGUAACCUGCUACGUUCUGCUGGACAACCGCAUGAAAGUGUGGCUAAUACGGGAUAUAUUGGGUCUGUUGCAUGAUGGGUCUGGGAAGGAUAUUGUUUCGGUGGGGGAUGGGUUCGCGGCUUAUCAGCUUGUUGGUGGGGUGAUGGCCUACCAAGGCGGUGAGGGGUAGCCGGCCUGGGAGGGUGGGCCGCCAUGCAGCGACGGAGAGGCGGAGAAGACUCCGACGGGAGGCAGCAGGGGGUAUUAUUGCACGAUGGGCAGAAGCCUGGUGCAGCGACGCCGCGGGAGGGAUGGUGGCCUGCUGGUUGUGAACUUCUUUCGCCAGUGAAGCAGGCCUGCCUCGUUUGUGCGUGGGUUGACGGUAGCUGGAUAAGAAGCGCCGGCUAACUACGUG
RNAcentral lists this ribosomal RNA (494 nucleotides) under uncultured bacterium. RNAcentral describes it as "partial 16S ribosomal RNA". It matches the Rfam family "Bacterial small subunit ribosomal RNA", at positions 28 to 507 of the family's 1533-position model. The record is from RNAcentral.